AAGUCGCUCCUGGCUAAAGCUGGCGUCAGUCCCUAGUCGCAUUUUUAACAAGGUCUCAGAAAGCUUGGAUACGGUAGCUUUUUUAGAGUAAGCAAGCCACUAAGUUUAAGUUAAGUUUAAGUUCUGUGGAUGGCCAACUUCAAGGAUGCCAUGAAUCUUCAUCUCUUUGAGUCUGCUUGGUAAUGUCGAUUCUGAGAUAAUGGACGUUGAUUUACUUCAGGUCAUUGGAACCGCUGCCAUUUAAGUAAAGUAUUUGGAAUUUGUGCUACCUUCAAGUUUUCAACUGAAGGGUGUAGUAUUAAUUGUAUCCCCAAGGCGAAUGGGAUGUAUUUAUAUAUUGUUUCAAUUGUUUUCCUAUGAUCUGUUAGCCUCGGUAGUUCGUUGACCCUAGCCCUUUGUCGUGGAUUAGACGAUGAUAUUUGGCCAUAGUUAUCCUUUCUCAAGGAAUGUGUAGGGUAAAACUACCUUGGCCUGAAAAGUAAAACAAAAAGGUUGUUUUGAACCUUAUUGAACGUAAUUCUUGGAACAUUAAAGAUGGAAUGGACGGUUGGGCAAUUCUUGUAUAUGUACAAUUCAGGCGUUGCGUCCUUGUGGGAAGAUUAUUCAAGGAACAGGAAGUUUGGUCGUGUUUGCUGUCUUUGAAAAAUGAGGAAGCAUGUUAAAGACCAAAAAGGCUCGUUUUCCUUUACUGGUAAGCCUCUAAAUCCCCAAUGGCAAGGUCAAAGCUCUGUACUUCAGCUUCUCAUCAACACACGUAUAUGACCUCGCACGACAUGACUUCAUAGCCGUCUGCUAACUACGCCGUAAAUAUUAAUGAUGCACCAACUUGGAUAGAAAUGUAACACAGUUUCCUGGUAACGGGAAAGUUUGUAAGAUAUCCACCAACUUACACACUUUAAAACUGGUUGGCCUUGUGUUUUGCUUACGUCCACCUAUCGUAGCCGGGAGGUAGAAUAAAGAAUCAGUGGCCACGCGCUUUGUUGGAAUUCGUGAAGGACGAUCGUAAAAUUUGAAACUAAAGCAAAAUAAUCGCGUGGACGUCAUGUUUAUACCAAGGAACGGAAACACACUGAAACAUGACGAUCCAAAUUAUGCCAGCUUAGGCAUAAUCUCAAAUCUUUGUUAGGAAAAGAAAGUUACUGUCCUUACUAUUUUUAUUGAAGAAUUCCUAUUUUUGUGAAUGCUUGCUUGAUAUGUAAUAUUCCAAACUUCUGUUGACAGGGACAAACUAUCGCAACAUGGUUAGUUGGUGACGAGACCGCGACUGCUUCUCUAUGCAGCCUGCGCAGUAAACCGCGGGUAAAUCCAGUGAAGCGUGGUCAUACGGCGGGGUGGAGACCGUGGGAGGAGAAAAUUAGGCGAUAGAUUGCUAACUCCAUGAACCUCCUUUAUUCCUUUACGACAGAGCACCUUGGUCGUGAAGGACUAGUUUUUGGUUGUUUUCCAACUCACUAACCAGAGAAUCACCGUAAAAAAACCUUGUACCAUUUCUGACAGAAAACCGAACUUGAUUGAAAACGAGCGAGUAGCCUCCAGCUUUUAAUAACGUAAUUUCUCUCACUAUCGUAUAUCAUUGACAGAGCCCUGGCUGAUGGUGUAAAGUGUUGAGUAAAAUGUUGAUACACAGCAUGUAUUAUAAUAAAGGCAGUGUAAUCUAAAAUAGGGUGGUCAUAGCCUGACAUAAAUACACAAUCAAUUCUUCUGCA
Long non-coding RNA from Daphnia carinata, 1706 nucleotides. RefSeq lists it as uncharacterized. The transcript has 4 exons. Lineage: Eukaryota; Metazoa; Arthropoda; Branchiopoda; Diplostraca; Daphniidae. The record is from RefSeq and is a predicted model, not a curated record.